This 90-nucleotide transfer RNA is filed under the name Actinomycetota bacterium. Its description in RNAcentral is "tRNA-Ser". It matches the Rfam family "tRNA". From Rfam's summary of the family: Transfer RNA (tRNA) molecules are approximately 80 nucleotides in length. Their secondary structure includes four short double-helical elements and three loops (D, anti-codon, and T loops). The record is from RNAcentral. Lineage: Bacteria; Bacillati; Actinomycetota.
GGAGGCGUGGCCGAGCCUGGCUGAAGGCGCGAGUCUUGAAAACUCGUGAGCGCCCCUGGCGCUCCGUGGGUUCGAAUCCCACCGCCUCCG